Passer domesticus (house sparrow) is the source of this 2252-nucleotide long non-coding RNA. RefSeq lists it as uncharacterized. The record is from RefSeq and is a predicted model, not a curated record. The transcript is spliced from 2 exons. NCBI's taxonomy places the organism in Eukaryota, Metazoa, Chordata, Aves, Passeriformes, Passeridae.
CCUACCUCACCCGGCCGCAUGGCUUCCCUCCCCCAGCCAGCCCCAGCUGGGCUGGGGAGCUCUGAGCUCCUCCACUGACUGGGACCAAGAGAGAGUUCUCCUGGCAGUUCUUGCUUUUAACCCCCUGUGUUCUCAGAGGCGGUCCACACCUUCAGUGGCCAAACCAGGUGCCAAUAUUCCAAUCCAAGCACUGAUUGGUUUGACCACAACCUCCCAAAAAACUCACUUCCUUCUUAACCUAUGACAGGUUGGGAGAAAAUUUGCCCUGGUAUCAUUUUGUCACAGUACGUACCAUUUGUAAAGUAACCCCAAAACCACAUAGUUAGCAUGUGAUAGCUCUGAAUCCAUGUGUCUGCCUUGCAGUGGAAGUUAAAGAUCCAUUAAAUCCUCACCUUAUUAACCAUAAAGCAAACUGGAUAACAGCCACAGCAGCCUUAGCUAUGGUUAGCCUGUGUUCCCAGGGAUGUCGGGGUGUUCCUGAUGGGGCAGAAGGAAGAGCUCCAGGCCCUCUGUGAGGCCCCUCAAGCCCUGAGUGAAAACAACAGCCCCUCCCACAUAAGCAUAUUUGUUCAGGUGAUGUUGGAGGGAAGAGCUGCAGAACUACUUUCAUCUGCUGGCUCAGAAGAGCCUGUGUCUCUUUAAGACCUCCAGAUCCCUUGGAAGGUGAGACCACCUGGAGACCAGAGGAGACCAGCUGGAGCUCCAGGCACAGCUGAUGACUGGCACAGCUGAGCCUGUGGGAAGCUCCCAUAGCUCCUGCCUUCUCCCUCCCUGCUGACAGCUGCCUCCCUCCAGCCCUCAGACCCUGCCCAUCCCCUUUCUUCCCUCCCAGCUCAUCCCUUUGCUUCACCUUCCAUUAAUAAACAGUUUGGCUUCCUCGCUUUGCCUUCAUCUCUGUGGAACUGAUGCGAUGCAAAUCCAGAGCCCUGGGACACACAGGCCCCUCCUGCUGUUCUCUUCCACGCCGUGUUUUGUGCACAGACACAGAGGAACGAGGGCAGAUCAGGCUGGAAAGAUCCCUGUGCUGAAGGUCCAGUUCCACAACACUGUGCAGUUACAGAUCUUGCUGAGCACCCUGGAGCCCCUGGACUUUGGAAGAGCCAACCUGAGGAUGCUCUGAACCCAGCUGUGAGGGAUUCCAUGGCAAGCAUCCACAGAGGGCAAAGGAGCUUGGAAAUGCUGGAUGGUUUCAAGAGCAGCUUGCUGAAAGCACAGCAGUGCUCCAUCCCUGCACAGGAUCAGGAAGAGGGCAGAACCAGAGACCAUCUGGGCUUAACAGAGAACUUUGGGUGUGCCUAAGGGCAAAUGAAGCAGCAGCACAGUGCCCGAGACUCAGAAGCACGACCGUGCCAGUGCACAGAGCGCUGUCAGUGCUGGGAUCCUGGAUGUGGUUCUGGUUCCCACAACCAGGGAAUGGCAGCCCCAGCCUCAGACCCAGUCAGAAAGCCAAGCAAGUGAGACCAGAGGGAGGGCACCUUUUCAGUUUCUCUGGGGCAUGGCCACCAAACAACCCCUGCUGCUUCUUCCUCCGCCUGUGUUUGUGGUGUGCUGCUGGCAGAGCCAGCCAGGUUGUGCUCUGUGUUCCAAAGCCUGUUGGGUGCAGGCAUGAAAAGCACUGUGUGCGCAGUGGAGAUUCCUGGAAGGUGCUGGCAAGAGCAUCCUGCAGGGACAGGGCUCUGGUGUCUGGCUGGAAAAGCCUGGUUUUGCUGCUGUGAUCACAGGCAAGAGUUGAAGGAGGUGAAGAGGCAGAGAGCAGCCUGUGUUUGUAGAGGGCCUGGGGCUGUAUGCCUGAACCUCCACCUGGAAACUGACUUGGGGAAUACGAGCUAGAGCUGGAGUGCCUGUCCUGAAAGGACCUGAAGUCAUUCAGCCUUGCCAGCUUUUCUUAAGGGUGUGUUGCUGUUCCCCAGGAAAGCUACGCAUUUGGGGAAAUGCCUUUGGAGGAAAGGGGCUUGCUUCUCAAGGAAAAUGCUUCUCAGGGAGCUCUCAGUGAGGUAGGUAAAAGUGUCCCCUUUGGCUCUCUGUGCUCCUUUCAGUCCUUGAGGACUGUUGCACUUGGCAGAGGGGCAGGGCAAGGGAGAAGGCAGUGAAUAGCGGGUUUGGCAUCUGCCUGGACCUGUGGAGACCAACCCAAGCACCUGCAGCAGGGUGUCUUCCCCCACUUUGGACAGAGGUGUGAGCAGGAGAAUCUCUGUCCAGCCACAAGCUCCAAAACUCUCUUUGAGAGCUGUGAAUUAAAAGGUCUUUAUGCA